This 877-nucleotide ribosomal RNA is filed under the name uncultured bacterium. Its description in RNAcentral is "bacterial SSU rRNA". It matches the Rfam family "Bacterial small subunit ribosomal RNA", at positions 11 to 887 of the family's 1533-position model. The record is from RNAcentral.
GUUUGAUCAUGGCUCAGAUUGAACGCUGGCGGAAUGCUUUACACAUGCAAGUCGAACGGUAGAGGGGGCAACCCCUUGAGAGUGGCGAACGGGUGAGUAAUAUAUCGGAACGUGCCCAGUCGUGGGGGAUAACGUAGCGAAAGUUACGCUAAUACCGCAUACGAUCUAAGGAUGAAAGCGGGGGAUCGCAAGACCUCGCGCGACUGGAGCGGCCGAUAUCAGAUUAGGUAGUUGGUAGGGUAAAGGCCUACCAAGCCAACGAUCUGUAGCUGGUCUGAGAGGACGACCAGCCACACUGGAACUGAGACACGGUCCAGACUCCUACGGGAGGCAGCAGUGGGGAAUUUUGGACAAUGGGCGAAAGCCUGAUCCAGCCAUUCCGCGUGCAGGAUGAAGGCCCUCGGGUUGUAAACUGCUUUUGUACAGAACGAAAAGGUUUCUAUUAAUACUAGGAGCUCAUGACGGUACUGUAAGAAUAAGCACCGGCUAACUACGUGCCAGCAGCCGCGGUAAUACGUAGGGUGCAAGCGUUAAUCGGAAUUACUGGGCGUAAAGCGUGCGCAGGCGGUUAUAUAAGUCAGAUGUGAAAUCCCCGGGCUCAACCUGGGAACUGCAUUUGAGACUGUAUAGCUAGAGUACGGUAGAGGGGGAUGGAAUUCCGCGUGUAGCAGUGAAAUGCGUAGAUAUGCGGAGGAACACCGAUGGCGAAGGCAUCCCCUGGACCUGUACUGACGCUCAUGCACGAAAGCGUGGGGAGCAAACAGGAUUAGAUACCCUGGUAGUCCACGCCCUAAACGAUGUCAACUGGUUUGUUGGGUCUUAACUGACUCAGUAACGAAGCUAACGCGUGAAGUUUGACCGCCUGGGGAGUACGGCC